AGUAACGCGUGAGGAACCUGCCUUCCAGAGGGGGACAACAGUUGGAAACGACUGCUAAUACCGCAUGAUGCAUUUGAAUCGCAUGGUUUGAAUGUCAAAGAUUUAUCGCUGGAAGAUGGCCUCGCGUCUGAUUAGCUAGUUGGUGAGGUAACGGCCCACCAAGGCGACGAUCAGUGGCCGGCCUGAGAGGGUGGACGGCCAUAUUGGGACUGAGACACGGCCCAAACUCCUACGGAAGGCAGCAG
RNAcentral lists this ribosomal RNA (245 nucleotides) under uncultured bacterium. RNAcentral's name for it is "partial 16S ribosomal RNA". It matches the Rfam family "Bacterial small subunit ribosomal RNA", at positions 109 to 354 of the family's 1533-position model. The record is from RNAcentral.